UACGAAGGGGGCUAGCGUUGUUCGGAUUUACUGGGCGUAAAGCGCGCGUAGGCGGAUCGCUAAGUCAGGGGUGAAAUCCCAAGGCUCAACCUUGGAACUGCCUUUGAUACUGACGAUCUGGAGAUUGGGAGAGGUGAGUGGAAUUCCGAGUGUAGAGGUGAAAUUCGUAGAUAUUCGGAGGAACACCAGAAGCGAAGGCGGCUCACUGGCCCAAUACUGACGCUGAGGCGCGAAAGCGUGGGGAGCAAACAGG
Molecule: ribosomal RNA, 253 nt
Filed under: uncultured bacterium
Lineage: Bacteria
Description: partial 16S ribosomal RNA
Rfam family: Bacterial small subunit ribosomal RNA
Source: RNAcentral